RNAcentral lists this ribosomal RNA (497 nucleotides) under uncultured bacterium. RNAcentral's name for it is "partial 16S ribosomal RNA". It matches the Rfam family "Bacterial small subunit ribosomal RNA", at positions 28 to 507 of the family's 1533-position model. The record is from RNAcentral.
GAUGAACGCUGGCGGCGUGCCUAAUACAUGCAAGUCGAGCGAACGGACGAGAAGCUUGCUUCUCUGAUGUUAGCGGCGGACGGGUGAGUAACACGUGGAUAACCUACCUAUAAGACUGGGAUAACUUCGGGAAACCGGAGCUAAUACCGGAUAAUAUUUUGAACCGCAUGGUUCAAAAGUAAAAGACGGUCUUGCUGUCACUUAUAGAUGGAUCCGCGCUGCAUUAGCUAGUUGGUAAGGUAACGGCUUACCAAGGCAACGAUGCAUAGCCGACCUGAGAGGGUGAUCGGCCACACGGGAACUGAGACACGGUCCAGACUCCUACGGGAGGCAGCAGUAGGGAAUCGUCCGCAAUGGGCGAAAGCCUGACGGAGCAACGCCGCGUGAGUGAUGAAGGUCUUCGGAUCGUAAAACUCUGUUAUUAGGGAAGAACAUAUGUGUAAGUAACUGUGCACAUCUUGACGGUACCUAAUCAGAAAGCCACGGCUAACUACGUG